This 87-nucleotide transfer RNA is filed under the name Collibacillus ludicampi. RNAcentral describes it as "tRNA-Leu". It matches the Rfam family "tRNA". Rfam says of the family: Transfer RNA (tRNA) molecules are approximately 80 nucleotides in length. Their secondary structure includes four short double-helical elements and three loops (D, anti-codon, and T loops). The record is from RNAcentral. Lineage: Bacteria; Bacillati; Bacillota; Bacilli; Caryophanales; Alicyclobacillaceae.
GCGGUCGUGGCGGAAUUGGCAGACGCGCAAGAUUCAGGUUCUUGUGAGUGCAAACUCGUGGAGGUUCAAGUCCUCUCGACCGCACCA